AUCACAUCCACUUCAAGAUUCCAAUCCUGAGAACACCUGUAGACAGAGCAGAAAGUCAUCACUGCCAUUGAAGAGAUGAAAAGGAGUGAGGAAAGAAGUAUACCUGUAAAGGCAUCCAUUGAGACGCUGUAUGACAACAAGGAAGACGGCAAGAGAGAGUGGCACGUGAAGUCAGUGACCGAGAUUGGCAAUAUGGGUGUUGGUGGUGUGGCAUCGAAGGAAAAAGGACUUAGUGGGCACCUUGACUACAGUUUGGGGAAGACUCAAUUAGACCUUGGUGGCGAGUUGAUGGUGGAGGGCAGGUUGCCCAAUGCCGGUGUUGCUGCUGGGAUAACUAACGAUGGAGUUAAAGCCAUGGCCACAGCUGAGCUCCUAGGUGCCUCUGUAUCCCACGGGAAGUUGACAGCCACAAUGCGUCUGGCAGCUGAUACAGGCUUUGGAGUAGGUAAGGAUGGGGUCGAGGCACAAUUUUUUGGUACAGGCUUCUCUAUCGGGAAGAAAACAUCAAUUUCUCUGUUUGGUACCAAGCUUGAAUGGGACUUCAGCAAGUGACACACCACCACUCAGAGCCCAGAGGUCCACUGCUUUGGAGAUGUAUUCACUCCACCUGAUUAGUUCUCAUAUAGCCUACAGAUAAGGCUUCAGGGCCACAGAUGUGCUUGGCUUCUUUUAUACUAAAAGAAAACAGCUUCAUGUAUUGUACUUAAUCAGUGGACUGUAUUUACAAUAUAUUCUUAUCAACUCUA
Coregonus clupeaformis (lake whitefish) is the source of this 746-nucleotide long non-coding RNA. RefSeq lists it as uncharacterized. The transcript has 2 exons. The record is from RefSeq and is a predicted model, not a curated record. Lineage: Eukaryota; Metazoa; Chordata; Actinopteri; Salmoniformes; Salmonidae.